CCACGAUGUGACCGCUUGGUUCAGCUGAUGUUCUUUGCUCUGCGCUGAAGGAGGAUUUAUUCUGGGAGCCUGAAUUCCCCCUGCCGUGCUUCUGGAGCUGCCACACUACAGGGGAAGAAAUAAGGAAAGGGCAAGGGACACCAACUACCCAAUUAAAAUCACUGAACAGUGACACUGGAAAUCCAAGUCAAGCUUUGUUUUCUGCUUUGAUCCCCAGAAGCCCACCUCUGUGAAGCAGGCCUCUUAUCUUCAUAUGCAACUGGAAAAAGCCUGCAUCAGCAAGAGAGCGUGGUCUGUGCUGCUCUGGUACCUGUAGCAUUCAACAAUAGGUGCUGCAAGCACAGGGCUGCUGCCGCUGCCAUUACCCUUGUGCCAGAAGUCUGUCAAGCAGCUGCUCUCUCUAAACUGCCCUGCUUAAUAGUGCCUUCCUUUUUUUCCUUCUGCCCCUCCGGGGACUCAUAUUUCUCACCUCCCACUGAAACACUUAUUGGAAAGUAUAUCCUUCACCUCUGGCCUCAGUGUCCCCUUCCCCAGGCUGGAAAAUCAUCGAUGAUGGGGGUGGAGGGUGGCAGCUUGUUCUCAGCUCAUCAAUCUAUCACACAUGUCACAAACCUCUGCAGAGGCGAGCUGGCUCCAACCCUCAUUUAUUUGCAAGUGCAGAGGAUGUUUGUGUUUGAUCGGAUAUGAUGGAUAAAUGAUUUCAAGCUGUGGGUUUCAUUUCAUCACUAAUCACAGAUACGGGUUGCAAUCCUGUUCAUGAUGUCAGCGGCUAAACUUCUAUUGACCUCCGUGGCAAGACGGGACACCGGUCACCCUGAAAUAAAUAAAUCAAAGGGGACACAGGAGGGGGAGAUGUAAGAUGACAAUGGCGCUGAUAUUAUCCUUAACUUUAAUCCUGGUCUGUGGAUUCACGUAUGAAAGCGAUACGUGCUUUCCUGUGUUACUAGGAGCUGUGAAGCAGGAACGUGUCAUUAAGGAGUCUCAACAUUCCAGAGAAGACAAAUCCCAGAAAUUUCCAAACGAGGCACAGAAUGCUCUUUUAACAUCAGUCAGACUUUGCUAACAGCUUUGUAAACUCUCUGCCUCCUGCACAAAGCCCACCUGUGGGGCUCCCUCCAUGCUGCUGGAAGUCACUCUGCAGUGCUCAGAGCUGCUGGCACAGCCUUCUGCCUCCAGCAUCAUUGCCUUCCCUUUUCCCCCGUGCACACAAAGUACCCAGACUCCCUUUCCAAUGGCAUGAAGACUCUCACUUCUCUUCAAGUCAUAUG
Molecule: long non-coding RNA, 1268 nt
Filed under: Gallus gallus (chicken)
Lineage: Eukaryota; Metazoa; Chordata; Aves; Galliformes; Phasianidae
Description: lncRNA (ENSGALG00010018688.1)
Source: RNAcentral